UGGGGAAUCUUGGACAAUGGGGGAAACCCUGAUCCAGCGACGCCGCGUGUAUGAAGAAGGCCUUAGGGUUGUAAAUUCCUUUCACCGGGGAGGAUGAUGACGUUACCCGGAGAAGAAGCACCGGCUAACGCCGUGCCAGCAGCCGCGGUAAGACGGAGGGUGCUAGCGUUGUUCGGAAUCACUGGGCGUAAAGGGCGCGUAGGCGGCUUGGUUAGUCAGAUGUGAAAGCCCAGGGCUCAACUCUGGAACUGCAUUUGAUACUCCCAAGCUUGAGGUCGAAAGAGGAGAGUGGAAUACUCAGUGUAGAGGUGAAACUCGUAGAUAUUGGGUGAAACACCAGUGGCGAAAGCGGCUCUCUGGUUCGAUUCUGACGCUGAGGCGCGAAAGCGUGGGGAGCAAACAGGAUUAGAUACCCCUGUAGUCC
Molecule: ribosomal RNA, 424 nt
Filed under: uncultured prokaryote
Description: bacterial SSU rRNA
Rfam family: Bacterial small subunit ribosomal RNA
Source: RNAcentral